This 229-nucleotide ribosomal RNA is filed under the name uncultured bacterium. RNAcentral describes it as "partial 16S ribosomal RNA". It matches the Rfam family "Bacterial small subunit ribosomal RNA", at positions 568 to 796 of the family's 1533-position model. The record is from RNAcentral.
UGUGUAGGCGGCUAGGUAAGCGUUCUGUGAAAUCCCUCGGCUUAACCGAGGAAUUGCUCGGCGAACUGCCUGGCUUGAGGCGCGUAGGGGCCAAUAGAACUCUGGGUGGAGCGGUGAAAUGCGUAGAUAUCCAGGGGAAUGCCAGUGGCGAAGGCGAUUGGCUGGGCGCGUCCUGACGCUGAUGCACGAAAGCGUGGGGAGCGAACAGGAUUAGAUACCCUGGUAGUCC